Molecule: ribosomal RNA, 1021 nt
Filed under: Chlamydomonas reinhardtii
Lineage: Eukaryota; Viridiplantae; Chlorophyta; Chlorophyceae; Chlamydomonadales; Chlamydomonadaceae
Description: bacterial LSU rRNA
Rfam family: Bacterial large subunit ribosomal RNA
Source: RNAcentral
AUGUCAUACUUCCAAGAAAAGCUCAUACAUCUUUAUAAUUUAAUGACCUGUACCUGAAACCGACACAGGUAGGUUGGUAGAGAAUACCAAGGGGCGCGAGAGAACUCUCUCUAAGGAACUCGGCAAACUGGCCCCGUAACUUCGGAAGAAGGGGCACCCAUCCGUAACAAGGUGGGUCGCAGUGACCAGGCCCAGGCGACUGUUUACCAAAAACACAGGUCUCCGCAAAGUCGUAAGACAAUAUAUGGGGGCUGACGCCUGCCCAGUGCCGGAAGGUUAAGGAAGUUGGUUAUUUCGUAAGAAAAAAGCUGACGACCGAAGCCCCGGUGAACGGCGGUCGUAACUAUAACGAUCCUAAGGUAGCGAAAUUCAUUGUCGAGUAAGUUUCGACCUGCACGAAAGGCGUAACGAUCUGGGCGCUGUCUCGGAGAGAGGCUCGGUGAAAUAGACUUGUCCCGUGAAGAUGCGGACUACCUACACCUGGACAGAAAGACCCUAUGAAGCUUGACUGUAUCUUGGAAUUGGGUUUGGGCUUUUCUUGCGCAGCCUAGGUGGGAGGCUAUGAAGAUUACCUUCCGGGGUAAUUAGAGCCGUCAUUGAGAGACCACUCUGGAAGAGCUAGAAUCCUAAUGGGGAUCCUUGAAUCAGGACCCUUGACAGUUUCAGGUGGGCAGUUUAUUUGGGGCGAAUGCCUCCUAAAAGGUAACGGAGGCGUGCAAAGGUUCCCUCAGUCUGGACGGAAAUCAGACAUUGAGUGUAAAGGCAAAAGGGAGCUUGACUGCAAGACCUACAAGUCGAGCAGGGGCGAAAGCCGGCCUUAGUGAUCCGACGGUGCCGCGUGGAAGGGCCGUCGCUCAACGGAUAAAAGUUACUCUAGGAAAACAGGCUGAUCUUCCCCCAGAGUUCACAUCGACGGGAAGGUUUGGCCCCUCGAUGUCGGCUCAUCACAUCCUCGGUCUGUAGUAGGUCCGAAGGGUUGGGCUGUUCGCCCAUUAAAGUGGUACGUGAGCUGGGUUCAAAA